AUAUACUAACUAUUUUUUAUCUACAUUCAUUAAUUAACUUUAUUUUAUAUGCUUAACGGCGAUAAGGUAUUGUUUAAGAUAUGGAUUAAGGUAUGAUUUGGAAAUUAAUAUUAUGUGGUGUCACAAAAUCGGAGGCCCCGACUGUUUACUUAAAACACAGCUUUCUGCUACGAAUAAUAUCUGUGUAUAGAAAGCGAAUUUUGCCCAAUGCCAUUAAUAUAAAGUUGAUAAGCGCAUAGCGUAUUUAUUAGCUGAAGUUCUGGUCAAUGGCGGUCUUAUCUAUGAGGAUCCUAAGGUAGCAAAAUUAAUUGUCCAUUAAAUGUGGUCCCUGACUGAAUAAAGUAACGAUGGUCUCACUGUCUCUACAAGUAUCUCAGUGAAAUUGAAUUANCCGUGCAGAUGCGGUUUAACUUCGGNUAANCGGAGACCUAUGCUCUUUACUGU
RNAcentral lists this ribosomal RNA (444 nucleotides) under Tulasnella violea. RNAcentral describes it as "LSU rRNA". It matches the Rfam family "Bacterial large subunit ribosomal RNA", at positions 1742 to 2107 of the family's 2925-position model. The record is from RNAcentral. Lineage: Eukaryota; Fungi; Basidiomycota; Agaricomycetes; Cantharellales; Tulasnellaceae.